Molecule: ribosomal RNA, 312 nt
Filed under: uncultured Pseudomonadota bacterium
Lineage: Bacteria; Pseudomonadati; Pseudomonadota
Description: bacterial SSU rRNA
Rfam family: Bacterial small subunit ribosomal RNA
Source: RNAcentral
AGUGAACGCUGGCGGCGUGCUUAACACAUGCAAGUCGAACGAGUAAGUGCUGUAGCAAUACAGAUUACUGCUAGUGGCAGACGGGUGAGUAAUACAUGGGAAUCUACCUCGAAGUCUGGGAUAACUGUUGGAAACGACAGCUAAUACCGGAUAUUGCCGAGAGGUGAAAGUUUUUCGCUUCGAGAUGAGCCCAUGCAAGAUUAGCUAGUUGGUAGGGUAAAGGCCUACCAAGGCGAAGAUCUUUAGCUGGUCUAAGAGGAUGAUCAGCCACACUGGAACUGAGACACGGUCCAGACUCCUACGGGAGGUCAG